AUAGCAUGCGAAUCCUGUGGGUGAGAAGCUGCGUUCAGGUUCGACAAAAUUGCUUGUCAAUUUUGAACAGCGCUUGCGCUGGCCCGCAGGGUGAGGCCAAAGGCCGAGUCAUCCCGCACGACCCACCA
Molecule: small RNA, 128 nt
Filed under: Serratia liquefaciens
Lineage: Bacteria; Pseudomonadati; Pseudomonadota; Gammaproteobacteria; Enterobacterales; Yersiniaceae
Description: RtT sRNA
Rfam family: RtT RNA
About the family: This family represents a bacterial cis-regulatory element known as RtT RNA. The exact function of RtT is unknown although it is thought that it may be involved in changing the cellular response in relation to amino acid starvation.
Source: RNAcentral